AUUGAACGCUGGCGGCAUGCUUUACACAUGCAAGUCGAGCGGUAACAGGCCUUCGGGUGCUGACGAGUGGCGAACGGGUGAGUAAUGCAUCGGAACGUACCCAGAGGUGGGGGAUAACGCAGCGAAAGCUGUGCUAAUACCGCAUGUGAUCUGAGGAUGAAAGCGGGGGACCGAGCAGCAAUGUUUGGCCUCGCGCCUUUGGAGCGGCCGAUGUCGGAUUAGCUAGUUGGUGGGGUAAAGGCCUACCAAGGCGACGAUCCGUAGCUGGUCUGGGAGGACGACCAGCCACACUGGGACUGAGACACGGCCCAGACUCCUACGGGAGGCAGCAGUGGGGAAUUUUGGACAAUGGGCGCAAGCCUGAUCCAGCAAUGCCGCGUGCGGGAAGAAGGCCUUCGGGUUGUAAACCGCUUUUGGCAGGAACGAAACGGUGUCCGCUAAUACCGGGCGCUAAUGACGGUACCUGCAGAAUAAGCACCGGCUAACUACGUG
This 492-nucleotide ribosomal RNA is filed under the name uncultured bacterium. Its description in RNAcentral is "partial 16S ribosomal RNA". It matches the Rfam family "Bacterial small subunit ribosomal RNA", at positions 29 to 507 of the family's 1533-position model. The record is from RNAcentral.